Molecule: small RNA, 120 nt
Filed under: Pongo abelii (Sumatran orangutan)
Lineage: Eukaryota; Metazoa; Chordata; Mammalia; Primates; Hominidae
Description: processed transcript
Source: RNAcentral
GGGACACUGAUUACUAACAGUAAAAUGUCUACAAAUAUUUGAAUGUAGAUAGAACAUGGAUUUGAACGUCUAUGACACUCUUCCGAGCUGACACAGUGAAGAACAUGGAAGGAGAACUCA